ACGUAGGUGGCAAGCGUUGUCCGGAAUUAUUGGGCGUAAAGGGCGCGCAGGCGGCCGAUUAAGUCUGAUGUGAAAUCCCACGGCUUAACCGUGGAAGGUCAUUGGAAACUGAUUGGCUUGAGUGCAGAAGAGGAGAGUGGAAUUCCACGUGUAGCGGUGAAAUGCGUAGAUAUGUGGAGGAACACCAGUGGCGAAGGCGGCGUUCUGGACUGCAACUGACACUGAGGAACGAAAGCCAGGGGAGCAAACGGGA
This 253-nucleotide ribosomal RNA is filed under the name uncultured prokaryote. RNAcentral describes it as "partial 16S ribosomal RNA". It matches the Rfam family "Bacterial small subunit ribosomal RNA", at positions 525 to 777 of the family's 1533-position model. The record is from RNAcentral.